GCGGUGGUAACUCAGUUGGUAGAGUAUCAGCCUUCCAAGCUGACUGUCGCCGGUUCGAGCCCGGUCCGCCGCU
This 73-nucleotide transfer RNA is filed under the name Candidatus Fibrimonadaceae bacterium. Its description in RNAcentral is "tRNA-Gly". It matches the Rfam family "tRNA". Rfam says of the family: Transfer RNA (tRNA) molecules are approximately 80 nucleotides in length. The record is from RNAcentral. Lineage: Bacteria; Pseudomonadati; Fibrobacterota; Fibrobacteria; Candidatus Fibrimonadales; Candidatus Fibrimonadaceae.